CUUGGGACCAGCCAAUACAGUCACCACAAUAACAUUGUUGUGAAACCUCAAUAAAAUCACAAACAGUCAAACCAUAUCAAGAAACACACAGUGACUUAUCACAACACAAUGGCACAUUUUUAAAGGGGUGGGGGGAGACAAUAUUUAACAGUAAAUAUCUCACCUGCCUGCAGAAUUAGCAAUAUGCAAAUCUACCCGAAUAUGCAAAUGAACCAGUCUUGCAAAUCAG
RNAcentral lists this long non-coding RNA (229 nucleotides) under Pelobates cultripes (western spadefoot toad). Lineage: Eukaryota; Metazoa; Chordata; Amphibia; Anura; Pelobatidae. The record is from RNAcentral.